Austrofundulus limnaeus is the source of this 414-nucleotide long non-coding RNA. RefSeq lists it as uncharacterized. The transcript has 3 exons. Lineage: Eukaryota; Metazoa; Chordata; Actinopteri; Cyprinodontiformes; Rivulidae. The record is from RefSeq and is a predicted model, not a curated record.
CAGGAGUCAUCAUGUAGAACAGGUGUCAUCAUGUAGAACAGGAGUCAUCAUGUAGAACAGGUGUCAUCAUGUAGAACAGGAGUCAUCAUGUAGAACAGGUGCCAUCGUGUAGAACAGGAGUCAUCAUGUAGAACAGGUGUCAUCAUGUAGAACAGGUGACAUCAUGUAGAACAGGAGUCAUUAUGUAGAACAGGAGUCAUCAUGUAGAACAGGAGUCAUCAUGUAGAACAGGAGUCAUCAUGUAGAACAGGAGUCAUCAUGUAGAACAGGUGUCAUCAUGUAGAACAGGUGUCAUCAUGUAGAACAGGAGUCAUCAUGUAGAACAGGUGUCAUCAUGUAGAACAGGUGUCAUCAUGUAGAACAGGUGUCAUUGUGAAGAACAGGUGUCAUCAUGUAGAACAGGUGUCAUCAUGU